Molecule: ribosomal RNA, 272 nt
Filed under: uncultured bacterium
Lineage: Bacteria
Description: partial 16S ribosomal RNA
Rfam family: Bacterial small subunit ribosomal RNA
Source: RNAcentral
UUCAUGUGACUGAGCGGCGGACGGGUGAGUAACGCGUGGGCAACCUGCCUUACACCGGGGGAUAACAGUUAGAAAUGACUGCUAAUACCGCAUAAGACCCCGGGACCGCAUGGUUCCGAGGUAAAAACUCCGGUGGUGUAAGAUGGGCCCGCGUCUGAUUAGGUAGUUGGCGGGGUAACGGCCCACCAAGCCGACGAUCAGUAGCCGACCUGAGAGGGUGACCGGCCACAUUGGGACUGAGACACGGCCCAGACUCCUACGGGAGGCAGCAG